Molecule: ribosomal RNA, 253 nt
Filed under: uncultured bacterium
Lineage: Bacteria
Description: partial 16S ribosomal RNA
Rfam family: Bacterial small subunit ribosomal RNA
Source: RNAcentral
UACGUAGGGUGCAAGCGUUGUCCGGAAUUAUUGGGCGUAAAGAGCUCGUAGGCGGUUCGUCGCGUCGGCUGUGAAAACCCGGAGCUCAACUCCGGGCCUGCAGUCGAUACGGGCGGACUCGAGUUCGGCAGGGGAGACUGGAAUUCCUGGUGUAGCGGUGAAAUGCGUAGAUAUCAGGAGGAACACCGAUGGCGAAGGCAGGUCUCUGGGCUGACACUGACGCUCAUGCACGAAAGCGUGGGGAGCAAACAGG